This 497-nucleotide ribosomal RNA is filed under the name uncultured bacterium. Its description in RNAcentral is "partial 16S ribosomal RNA". It matches the Rfam family "Bacterial small subunit ribosomal RNA", at positions 28 to 507 of the family's 1533-position model. The record is from RNAcentral.
GAUGAACGCUGGCGGCGUGCCUAAUACAUGCAAGUCGAGCGAACAGACGAGGCGCUUGCUGCUCUCACGUUUGCGGCGGACGGGUGUGUCACACGUGGAUACCCUACCUAAAAGACUGGUAUAUUUUCGGGACACCGGCGCUAAUACCAGAUAAUAUAUUGCAGCACAUUGUUGAAUAGUGAUAUUCGGUUUUGCUGUCUCUUAUCGAUGGAUACGAGCCGCAUUAGCUAGUUGGUAAGGUAACGGCCUACCAAGGCGACGCUGCGUAGCCGACCUGUGAGGCUGAUCGACCACAUGGGAACUGAGACGCGCUCCAGAGUCCUGCGGGAGGCAACAGUAGGGUAUCGUCCGCAAAGGGCGGAAGUCUUGCGGAGCAGCGCCGCGUGGGUGACAAAAGUGGUGGGAUCGAAAAACCCGCUUAUUAGGGAAGAACAAAUGUGGAAUGAACUAAACACGGCUUGACGGUACCUAAUCAGAAAGCCACGGCUAACUACGUG